Molecule: non-coding RNA, 95 nt
Organism: Mycena rebaudengoi
Lineage: Eukaryota; Fungi; Basidiomycota; Agaricomycetes; Agaricales; Mycenaceae
Source: the annotation of a GenBank genome assembly
GCCCUGGUUGAUUAAUGGAAAUCACCCACACCCCUUGAGCGAAUAAGCUGAGCCGAUUGAUGUGGGAGACGGAGGUUCGAAUCCUCCCCGGGGCA